ACUCCAUACUGAACCUUUAUCAGUAAGAGUUCAUCCGGAGUCAGAGAACAGGGAAUGGCGUCCGACGCAAAAAUUGGACGAGGCCCAGCCCUAGAUGUGGGUUCGUCUACAGUAUGAGGGCUCUGGAGGACUGAGGCAGACGAGCUCUUGGAACCGCUAGAGGCAGAGGUGCCAGAAGAUAUUUCAAGCAAGAACCCUAAAAAUCCUGGAG
This 211-nucleotide long non-coding RNA is filed under the name Elaeis guineensis (African oil palm). Its description in RNAcentral is "long non-coding RNA (EGUI_LNC070982)". The record is from RNAcentral. Lineage: Eukaryota; Viridiplantae; Streptophyta; Magnoliopsida; Arecales; Arecaceae.